UACGUAGGGGGCAAGCGUUGUCCGGAAUCAUUGGGCGUAAAGGGCGCGUAGGCGGCCUGGCAAGUGGAAGGUGAAAUCCCUCGGCUUAACCGAGGAACUGCCCUCCAAACUGCUAGGCUUGAGGCCGGGAGAGGUGAGUGGAAUUCCCAGUGUAGCGGUGAAAUGCGUAGAUAUUGGGAAGAACACCGGUGGCGAAGGCGGCUUCCUGGUCUGCGACUGACGCUGUGGCGCGAAAGCUAGGGGAGCAAACGGG
RNAcentral lists this ribosomal RNA (253 nucleotides) under uncultured bacterium. RNAcentral describes it as "partial 16S ribosomal RNA". It matches the Rfam family "Bacterial small subunit ribosomal RNA", at positions 524 to 776 of the family's 1533-position model. The record is from RNAcentral.